Molecule: ribosomal RNA, 641 nt
Filed under: Limosilactobacillus vaginalis
Lineage: Bacteria; Bacillati; Bacillota; Bacilli; Lactobacillales; Lactobacillaceae
Description: bacterial SSU rRNA
Rfam family: Bacterial small subunit ribosomal RNA
Source: RNAcentral
CACUGAUAUGACGUGCUUGCACUGAAUUGACGUUGGAUUACCAGUGAGCGGCGGACGGGUGAGUAACACGUGGGCAACCUGCCCUGAAGCGGGGGAUAACAUCUGGAAACAGGUGCUAAUACCGCAUAACAACGAAAACCACAUGGUUUUCGUUUCAAAGAUGGUUUCGGCUAUCACUUCAGGAUGGGCCCGCGGUGCAUUAGCUAGUUGGUAAGGUAACGGCUUACCAAGGCAAUGAUGCAUAGCCGAGUUGAGAGACUGAUCGGCCACAAUGGAACUGAGACACGGUCCAUACUCCUACGGGAGGCAGCAGUAGGGAAUCUUCCACAAUGGGCGCAAGCCUGAUGGAGCAACACCGCGUGAGUGAAGAAGGGUUUCGGCUCGUAAAGCUCUGUUGUUGGAGAAGAACGUGCGUGAGAGUAACUGUUCACGCAGUGACGGUAUCCAACCAGAAAGUCACGGCUAACUACGUGCCAGCAGCCGCGGUAAUACGUAGGUGGCAAGCGUUAUCCGGAUUUAUUGGGCGUAAAGCGAGCGCAGGCGGUUGCUUAGGUCUGAUGUGAAAGCCUUCGGCUUAACCGAAGAAGGGCAUCGGAAACCGGGCGACUUGAGUGCAGAAGAGGACAGUGGAACUCCAUGUG